Molecule: ribosomal RNA, 406 nt
Filed under: uncultured bacterium
Lineage: Bacteria
Description: partial 16S ribosomal RNA
Rfam family: Bacterial small subunit ribosomal RNA
Source: RNAcentral
AUUGAACGCUGGCGGCAGGCCUAACACAUGCAAGUCGAACGAGUGGCGGACGGGUGAGUAAUGUCUGGGAAACUGCCCGAUGGAGGGGGCUAACUACUGGAAACGGCAGAUAAUACCGCAUACCAUCUGAUGUGCCCAGAUGGGUUUAGCUUGUAGGUGAGGUAACGGCUCACCUAGGCGACGAUCCCUAGCUGGUCUGAAAGGAUGACCAGCCACACGGGAACUGAGACACGGUCCAGACUCCUACGGUAGGCAGCAGUGGGGAAUAUUGCACAAUGGGCGAAAGCCUGAUGCAGCCAUGCCGCGUGUAUGAAGAAGGCCUUCGGGUUGUAAAGUACUUUCAGCGGGUAGGCGUUACCCGCAGAAGAAGCACCGGCUAACUCCGUGCCAGCAGCCGCGGUAAUAC